UUUCAAUCUUUGAAAGCUUUCAAAAAUGGAAGAAUGUCGUUUCGUGUUUGAUUAUGAUGAUGAUGUAGCCAGGAGGAAAGCUCUAGAUUAUAUAAAUAAUUCUAAAGGAGUUAAAUCCGUAACAUUAAAAGACAGCCUCCUUAUCGUGAGGGGAGACGGACUAGAUCAAGAUAAAAUGGAGAAGAAGUUGGAUAAGAUUUUUUCACCAAAAAAGGGAUGCGUAUGGUGUAUGGCGUUUUAGUCCCAAUGGAUGAUAUGUUGUUUAUUUAUAUUUUCAUGUUCUAUAAGAGUGUUUGGAUUUAUGCUU
Brassica oleracea var. oleracea is the source of this 307-nucleotide long non-coding RNA. RefSeq lists it as uncharacterized. Lineage: Eukaryota; Viridiplantae; Streptophyta; Magnoliopsida; Brassicales; Brassicaceae. The transcript has 3 exons. The record is from RefSeq and is a predicted model, not a curated record.